Molecule: ribosomal RNA, 2891 nt
Filed under: Saprospiraceae bacterium
Lineage: Bacteria; Pseudomonadati; Bacteroidota; Saprospiria; Saprospirales; Saprospiraceae
Description: 23S ribosomal RNA
Rfam family: Bacterial large subunit ribosomal RNA
Source: RNAcentral
UAGGAAGUGAAUAAGGGCGCAUGGUGGAUGCCUUGGCUCUCGGAGACGAAGAAGGACGUGGUAAGCUGCGAUAAGCUAUGGGGAGCUGCAUACAAGCUUUGAUCCGUAGAUUUCCGAAUGGGGCAACCCUCCAAGUUGAAGACUUGGAAUCUGCCGUAAGGCGGAGGAGAACCCGGAGAACUGAAACAUCUAAUUAACCGGAGGAAAAGAAAACAAUUGUGAUUCCGUAAGUAGUGGCGAGCGAAAUCGGAAUAGCCCAAACCGUGGUACUUAGUGCCACGGGGUUGUAGGACCAUACAUGAACAUAACACGGAAGUAGAAUUCAUUGGAAAAUGAAACCAUAGACGGUGACAGUCCAGUACACGUAAAAUGUUAUGGGAUAGUGGUAUCCUGAGUAGGGCGGGGUCGGAGACGCCCUGUCUGAAUCUGCCGGCACCAUCCGGUAAGGCUAAAUACUCCCGAGAGACCGAUAGUGAACAAGUACUGUGAAGGAAAGGUGAAAAGAACCCCAAGAAGGGGAGUUAAAAGAACCUGAAACCAUGCGCUUACAAGCGGUAGGAGUCCCGUUUCGACGGGAUGACUGCGUGCCUUUUGCAUAAUGAGCCUACGAGUUGCUCCUCACUAGCAAGUUUAAUCCGCUAAGCGGAGAAGGCGUAGCGAAAGCGAGUCUUAACAGGGCAAAUAGCUAGUGGGGGCAGACGCGAAACCGUGUGAUCUACCCAUGAGCAGGUUGAAGGGGCGAUAAUCUCGCCCUGGAGGACCGAACUAGUUGACGUUGAAAAGUCUUUGGAUGACUUGUGGGUAGGGGUGAAAGGCUAAUCAAACUCGGAGAUAGCUCGUACUCCCCGAAAUGCAUUUAGGUGCAGCGUUGGAGUGGAGUGUCACGGAGGUAGAGCUACCGAUAGGGCUAGGGGUUUCAUCACCUACCAACCCCUGACGAACUCCGAAUGCCGUGACAUAUAUCCAGCAGUGAGGCGGUGGGUGCUAAGGUCCAUCGCCGAGAGGGGAACAACCCAGACCAUCAGCUAAGGUCCCUAAAUAUACAUUAAGUUGAAUUAAACGAAGUGGAGAUGCUAUGACAGCUAGGAUGUUGGCUUGGAAGCAGCCAUUCAUUUAAAGAGUGCGUAACAGCUCACUAGUCGAGCGUUUCUGCGCGGAAAAUGAUCGGGCAUCAAAUGUAUUACCGAAGCUAUGGAUUGAUAUCGUAAGAUAUCACUGGUAGGGGAGCAUUCCAGCGACAGCGAAGCUAUAUCGUGAGAUGUGGUGGAGUUUCUGGAAAAGAAAAUGUAGGCAUAAGUAACGAUUAUCACGCUGAGAAAGCGUGACGCCGUAAGAAUCAGGUUUCCUCGAUCUAUGCUAAUCAGAUCAGGGUUAGUCGGGUCCUAAGGUAUAGCUGAAAAGCGAAGCCGAUGGAAAGCCGUUUAAUAUUCCGGCACUUGUAUAAAUUGCGAUGGGGUGACGGAGAAGCGUAAAGCCCGCCAACUUACGGAAUAGUUGGUUGAAGUGCGUAGGUGUUGAUCCGGUAGGCAAAUCCGCCGGUGAACUGAAACACGAUAGUACACGGAUCUCCUCGGAGUGAAGUGAUAGUGGCUCCAAGCAUACUUCCAAGAAAAACCUCUAAGCUUCAGAUUUGUACAACCCGUACCGCAAACCGACACAGGUAUUCGAGGAGAAUAUCCUCAGGCGCUCGAGUGAGUCAUGGCUAAGGAACUAGGCAAAUUAGUCUCGUAACUUCGGGAAAAGAGACUCCCACUGAAAAGUGGGACGCAGAGAAAUGGCCCAGGCGACUGUUUAACAAAAACACAGGACUCUGCAAAAUCGAAAGAUGACGUAUAGGGUCUGACACCUGCCCGGUGCUGGAAGGUUAAGGAAGGAGCUCAGCGCAAGCAAAGGUUCUGACUGAAGCCCCAGUAAACGGCGGCCGUAACUAUAACGGUCCUAAGGUAGCGAAAUUCCUUGUCGGGUAAGUUCCGACCUGCACGAAUGGUGUAACGAUCUGGGCACUGUCUCAGCCAUGAGCUCGGUGAAAUUGAAGUAUCGGUGAAGAUGCCGGUUACCCGCCACGGGACGAAAAGACCCCGUGCACCUUUACUACAACUUCACAUUGUGCUUGAAUAUAAGAUGUGUAGGAUAGGUGGGAGACUUUGAAGCUGGCACGCCAGUGUCGGUGGAGUCGUCCUUGAAAUACCACCCUUUUUAUAUUUAGGUUCUAACCCUGUAACAACAGGGGACAGUGUGUGGUGGGUAGUUUGACUGGGGUGGUCGCCUCCUAAAGAGUAACGGAGGCUUGCAAAGGUGCCCUCAGCAUGGUCGGUAAUCAUGCGUAGAGCGUAUUAGUAUAAGGGCGCUUGACUGAGAGAUCGACGGAUCGACCAGGAACGAAAGUUGGCUAAAGUGAUCCGGUGGUUCCGCAUGGAAGGGCCAUCGCUCAAAGGAUAAAAGGUACGCCGGGGAUAACAGGCUGAUCUCCCCCAAGAGCUCAUAUCGACGGGGAGGUUUGGCACCUCGAUGUCGGUUCGUCACAUCCUGGGGCUGGAGAAGGUCCCAAGGGGUUCGGCUGUUCGCCGAUUAAAGUGGCACGUGAACUGGGUUCAGAACGUCGCAAGACAGUUCGGUCUCUAUCUGUGGUGGGCGUUGUAACAUUGAAGGGAGCUGACUCUAGUACGAGAGGACCGAGUCGGACGUACCGCUAGUGUAUCUGUUGUGCCGCCAGGUGCAGCGCAGAGUAGCUAUGUACGGACUAGAUAAGCGCUGAAAGCAUCUAAGCGCGAAGCUAUCCUUAAGAUGAGUGUUACAUGGGGUCGUAGAAGACGACUACGUUGAUAGGCUAUAGGUGAAAUCGUAGUAAUACGUUCAGCCGAGUAGUACUAAUUACCCCUAAACUUCCUUUU